UAGUGAUCCGGUGGUUCUGAAUGGAAGGGCCAUCGCUCAACGGAUAAAAGGUACUCCGGGGAUAACAGGCUGAUACCGCCCAAGAGUUCAUAUCGACGGCGGUGUUUGGCACCUCGAUGUCGGCUCAUCACAUCCUGGGGCUGAAGUAGGUCCCAAGGGUAUGGCUGUUCGCCAUUUAAAGUGGUACGCGAGCUGGGUUUAGAACGUCGUGAGACAGUUCGGUCCCUAUCUGCCGUGGGCGCUGGAGAACUGAGGGGGGCUGCUCCUAGUACGAGAGGACCGGAGUGGACGCAUCACUGGUGUUCGGGUUGUCAUGCCAAUGGCACUGCCCGGUAGCUAAAUGCGGAAGAGAUAAGUGCUGAAAGCAUCUAAGCACGAAACUUGCCCCGAGAUGAGUUCUCCCUGACCCUUUAAGGGUCCUGAAGGAACGUUGAAGACGACGACG
This 445-nucleotide ribosomal RNA is filed under the name Shigella flexneri. RNAcentral describes it as "partial 23S ribosomal RNA". It matches the Rfam family "Bacterial large subunit ribosomal RNA", at positions 2413 to 2852 of the family's 2925-position model. The record is from RNAcentral. Lineage: Bacteria; Pseudomonadati; Pseudomonadota; Gammaproteobacteria; Enterobacterales; Enterobacteriaceae.